RNAcentral lists this ribosomal RNA (269 nucleotides) under uncultured archaeon. Its description in RNAcentral is "partial 16S ribosomal RNA". It matches the Rfam family "Archaeal small subunit ribosomal RNA", at positions 478 to 747 of the family's 1478-position model. The record is from RNAcentral.
AGCUCUCCGAGUGGUAGGGAUGAUUAUUGGGCCUAAAGCGUCCGUAGCCGGCCUGGCAAGUCUUUCGUUAAAUCCAGCAACCUAAUUGUUGGGCUGCGAGAGAUACUGCUAGGCUAGAGGGUGGGAGAGGCCGACGGUAUUCCCGGGGUAGGGGUGAAAUCUUAUAAUCCCGGGAGGACCACCAGUGGCGAAGGCUGUCGGCUAGCACGCGCCUGACGGUGAGGGACGAAAGCUGGGGGAGCGAACCGGAUUAGAUACCCGAGUAGUCC